This 465-nucleotide ribosomal RNA is filed under the name Vreelandella stevensii. Its description in RNAcentral is "partial 16S ribosomal RNA". It matches the Rfam family "Bacterial small subunit ribosomal RNA", at positions 338 to 795 of the family's 1533-position model. The record is from RNAcentral. Lineage: Bacteria; Pseudomonadati; Pseudomonadota; Gammaproteobacteria; Oceanospirillales; Halomonadaceae.
CCUACGGGUGGCUGCAGUGGGGAAUAUUGGACAAUGGGCGAAAGCCUGAUCCAGCCAUGCCGCGUGUGUGAAGAAGGCCUUCGGGUUGUAAAGCACUUUCAGUGGGGAAGAAAGCCUUGGGGCUAAUACCCUCGAGGAAGGACAUCACCCACAGAAGAAGCACCGGCUAACUCCGUGCCAGCAGCCGCGGUAAUACGGAGGGUGCGAGCGUUAAUCGGAAUUACUGGGCGUAAAGCGCGCGUAGGCGGUCUGAUAAGCCGGUUGUGAAAGCCACGGGCUCAACCUGGGAACGGCAUCCGGAACUGUCAGGCUAGAGUGCAGGAGAGGAAGGUAGAAUUCCCGGUGUAGCGGUGAAAUGCGUAGAGAUCGGGAGGAAUACCAGUGGCGAAGGCGGCCUUCUGGACUGACACUGACGCUGAGGUGCGAAAGCGUGGGUAGCAAACAGGAUUAGAUACCCCAGUAGUC